AAUAUCAAGUCUGACUAUAUCAACUGCUAACAUGUGACUGAUGGAUGGGUGAUCUGUUCUUGCAAACUGGGAUACCAGGUGGCAGCUGUUGAGAAUGGUGGGGACAUUUGUGUGGACACAGAAAGUAUAUGAGAUGCAGUUACUGCAUCCUCAGGCCCUGACCAUAGGGAUAUGAAUGCGAGAUAUGCAAACACUAUCAGUUGAUUGCAUCAGAGAAGCCCCUUUUUGUGCCAAACUGAAUGCAGUUUUCCAUUGUCCCAAACUGGAUUCUGCCUGUUCACA
This is a long non-coding RNA of Gopherus evgoodei (Goodes thornscrub tortoise), 282 nucleotides long. RefSeq lists it as uncharacterized. The record is from RefSeq and is a predicted model, not a curated record. NCBI's taxonomy places the organism in Eukaryota, Metazoa, Chordata, Testudines, Testudinidae. The transcript is spliced from 3 exons.